GACGAACGCUGGCGGCGUGCCUAAAACAUGCAAGUCGAACGAGGUAGCAAUACCUAGUGGCGAACGGCGGAGUAAUACAUGAACAACGUGCCCUGAAGUCCGGGACAAACGCAGAAAUGUCAUAAAUACCGGAUGUGGCCCCUUAUUGGCAUCAGUGAGGGAUUAAAUGGUUUUUCGCUUCAGGAGCGGUUCAUGGCCUAUCAGGUAGUUGGUGGGGUAAUGGCCUACCAAGCCGACGACAGGUAGCGGGUCUGAGAGGAUGAUCCGCUCGAGUGGGACUGAGACACGGCCCACACACCUACGGGUGGCAGCAGUUGGGAAUCUUGCACAAUGGGGGAAACCCUGAUGCAGCGACGCCGCGUGGAGGAUGACGGAUCUAGGUCUGUAAACUCCUUUUUCAUGGAAAGACUUAGGACGGUACCAUGAGAAUAAGGACCGGCUAACUACGUGCCAGCAGCCGCGGUAAGUCUCGCGUGA
This 477-nucleotide ribosomal RNA is filed under the name uncultured bacterium. Its description in RNAcentral is "bacterial SSU rRNA". It matches the Rfam family "Bacterial small subunit ribosomal RNA", at positions 28 to 532 of the family's 1533-position model. The record is from RNAcentral.